This 508-nucleotide ribosomal RNA is filed under the name uncultured microorganism. RNAcentral describes it as "bacterial SSU rRNA". It matches the Rfam family "Bacterial small subunit ribosomal RNA", at positions 9 to 523 of the family's 1533-position model. The record is from RNAcentral.
GAGUUUGAUCGUGGCUCAGGAUAAACGCUGGCGGCGCACAUAAGACAUGCAAGUCGAACGAACUUAAUUUUAAUAUUUAUAUUAAAAGACGGUUAGUGGCGGACUGGUGAGUAACGCGUAAGCAAUCUGCCUAUCAGAGGGGAAUAACAGUGAGAAAUCAUUGCUAAUACCGCAUAUGCCAUAAGAAUCACAUGAUUCUAGUGGGAAAGGAGCAAUCCACUGAUAGAUGAGCUUGCGUCUGAUUAGCUAGUUGGUGGGAUAACGGCCUACCAAGGCGACGAUCAGUAGCCGGACUGAGAGGUUGAACGGCCACAUUGGGACUGAGAUACGGCCCAGACUCCUACGGGAGGCAGCAGUCGGGAAUAUUGCGCAAUGGAGGAAACUCUGACGCAGUGACGCCGCGUAUAGGAAGAAGGUUUUCGGAUUGUAAACUAUUGUCGUUAGGGAAGAUAAAAGACAGUACCUAAGGAGGAAGCUCCGGCUAACUACGUGGCAGCCGCCGCAGUAA